AAAGGUUUGUUUAAAAUUGAUAAAUGUAAUCGAAUACUUCUGACUGAGAUUAUAGGUGAACAUAAGGAUAACAAACCUUAUAUGCCAAGACCCAAGAACAAGCCUGCUGCAACCAUUGGAAAUUAUAAUGGUAUUAGUAUUGAUGUAGUCACAUGUUAUAGGUCCAAACAAUGGCCUGUACAGGCAAGUGAAUGGCUGACCCGACAAAGAUGCAAUGGAUGGCCAAAAGAAGAUGUGAUUAAUGAGCUGAAAUCGCUUGGAUAUUUUCUUGUGAGAAAAGGUCAUGUUUCGUCUCCCGAAAAAGAUUUCGAAUGGAGAAUAUCUCUCACUUUACAAGAACGAAAACUAAUAUUUGAUCUAACAGAUGUUCAAUUUAAAUGUUACGUUGUUCUUA
This 394-nucleotide long non-coding RNA is filed under the name Mytilus galloprovincialis (Mediterranean mussel). The record is from RNAcentral. Lineage: Eukaryota; Metazoa; Mollusca; Bivalvia; Mytilida; Mytilidae.